AUUGAACGCUGGCGGCAUGCCUUACACAUGCAAGUCGAACGGUAACGCGGGGCAACCUGGCGACGAGUGGCGAACGGGUGAGUAAUAUAUCGGAACGUGCCCAGUAGUGGGGGAUAGCCCGGCGAAAGCCGGAUUAAUACCGCAUACGACCUACGGGUGAAAGCGGGGGAUCGCAAGACCUCGCGCUAUUGGAGCGGCCGAUAUCAGAUUAGGUAGUUGGUGGGGUAAAGGCCUACCAAGCCUACGAUCUGUAGCUGGUCUGAGAGGACGACCAGCCACACUGGGACUGAGACACGGCCCAGACUCCUACGGGAGGCAGCAGUGGGGAAUUUUGGACAAUGGGCGCAAGCCUGAUCCAGCCAUGCCGCGUGCGGGAAGAAGGCCUCGGUUGUAA
RNAcentral lists this ribosomal RNA (394 nucleotides) under uncultured bacterium. Its description in RNAcentral is "bacterial SSU rRNA". It matches the Rfam family "Bacterial small subunit ribosomal RNA", at positions 29 to 428 of the family's 1533-position model. The record is from RNAcentral.